This 492-nucleotide ribosomal RNA is filed under the name uncultured bacterium. RNAcentral describes it as "partial 16S ribosomal RNA". It matches the Rfam family "Bacterial small subunit ribosomal RNA", at positions 29 to 507 of the family's 1533-position model. The record is from RNAcentral.
AGUAAACGCUGGCGGUAGGCCUAACACAUGCAAGUCGAACGGCAGCACAGUAAGAGCUUGCUCUUACGGGUGGCGAGUGGCGGACGGGUGAGGAAUACAUCGGAAUCUACUUUUUCGUGGGGGAUAACGUAGGGAAACUUACGCUAAUACCGCAUACGACCUACGGGUGAAAGCAGGGGAUCUUCGGACCUUGCGCGAUUGAAUGAGCCGAUGUCGGAUUAGCUAGUUGGCGGGGUAAAGGCCCACCAAGGCGACGAUCCGUAGCUGGUCUGAGAGGAUGAUCAGCCACACUGGAACUGAGACACGGUCCAGACUCCUACGGGAGGCAGCAGUGGGGAAUAUUGGACAAUGGGCGCAAGCCUGAUCCAGCCAUACCGCGUGGGUGAAGAAGGCCUUCGGGUUGUAAAGCCCUUUUGUUGGGAAAGAAAAGCAGCAGGCUAAUACCCCGCUGUUCUGACGGUACCCAAAGAAUAAGCACCGGCUAACUUCGUG